UAGGGAAUCUUCCGCAAUGGACGAAAGUCUGACGGAGCAACGCCGCGUGAGUGAAGAAGGAUUUCGGUUCGUAAAACUCUGUUGUUAGGGAAGAAAAAAUGUAUAGUAACUAUAUACAAAAGAGACGGUACCUAACCAGAAAGCCACGGCUAACUACGUGCCAGCAGCCGCGGUAAUACGUAGGUGGCAAGCGUUGUCCGGAAUUAUUGGGCGUAAAGCGCGCGCAGGUGGUUUAGAAAGUCUGAUGUGAAAGCCCACGGCUCAACCGUUGAGGGUCAUUGGAAACUAAUAAACUUGAGUGCAGGAGAGAAAAGUGGAAUUCCUAGUGUAGCAGUGUAAUGCGUAGAGAUUAGGAGGAACACCGGUGGCGAAAGCGGCUUUUUGGCCUGCAACUGACACUGAGGCGCGAAAGCGUGGGGAGCAAACAGG
This 429-nucleotide ribosomal RNA is filed under the name Verrucomicrobiota bacterium. Its description in RNAcentral is "Verrucomicrobia bacterium partial 16S ribosomal RNA". It matches the Rfam family "Bacterial small subunit ribosomal RNA", at positions 355 to 776 of the family's 1533-position model. Lineage: Bacteria; Pseudomonadati; Verrucomicrobiota. The record is from RNAcentral.